GGCUCAGUGGCGAAGUGGUUAACGCUACGGUUUGCAAAACCGUCAUUCACCGGUUCGACUCCGGUCUGAGCCU
RNAcentral lists this transfer RNA (73 nucleotides) under Candidatus Kaiserbacteria bacterium. RNAcentral's name for it is "tRNA-Cys". It matches the Rfam family "tRNA". From Rfam's summary of the family: Transfer RNA (tRNA) molecules are approximately 80 nucleotides in length. Their secondary structure includes four short double-helical elements and three loops (D, anti-codon, and T loops). The record is from RNAcentral. Lineage: Bacteria; Candidatus Kaiseribacteriota.